This 1745-nucleotide unclassified non-coding RNA is filed under the name Leishmania donovani. Its description in RNAcentral is "gene:unknown". The record is from RNAcentral. Lineage: Eukaryota; Euglenozoa; Kinetoplastea; Trypanosomatida; Trypanosomatidae.
CAACAAGGCCAAACCGUCCAAUUCACAGCACCCACACAUGUAGGUCUCGCCAUCCCCCCAUCCUCCCUCCUCCUCAGCGGUGCACCCCGCAUUCACACGCAGGGGCGCAUAAGCAGACCUUCACACCUAAGCUCAUCAUUCCUUGUCACCACCCGCACCGCUCGCCCACUUCUCUGUGAGCCGGUGUCUUGUGUCCUGGUGAGGUGGUGGGUGGGAGCAGAGCACCUUGCGUUUCUCAUCACCUUCCUUUUCCCUCGAGUGUUCUUUUGUCGGUGUGGCGGAACUCCGUGCUUCCUGCUCUGCCUUCUGUUUCAGCCUCCGUGUGCUUCGUUGAUUUGUCACCUUCCAUUCCAUCAGUGCGGCACUGCUCCCCGCCCUCCUUCUCCGCCCUCCUUUCUUUGAUCCGCUAUUUCGACCAGCUCGCGACGCAACGGUAUUCUCGGACUACUGACAUCACGACGGGUGUGCACACCAACUGCUCAAUGGUGGGCAGGAGUGCACUCAUACGCGUUGCGAUUAAUGCUCCGAAUUUAUCAACGGUGCUCUGUGACGUCGUUUUCCGCGCAUCCAGCCCGACGAUCUGCCGCGUCGUGGAUCAAGGCUGCACAUGCGUUCUUAACAGAGCCACCUUGGCCGUUUUACAGCUGCCGACUACGAGGCCGCCACCGCGGACGAGUCGGAGUGGCGCAGCGCUGCGCAGGCGCUUGGGUCAUGCGGCAAGACGUCAUUUUUCUCCCAUCUUAUCGGAGAACCAAAGGCGGUCAUAUUGGCCACGUCGUCUCAGCGAGGCGGGAGUGCCCCCUCGCUCUCCGCUGCGUGCGGUUUCGGCAAGAACCUUCUGUUGGCCUGACUGUCGGAGUGGAGGGAACGAUGGCGGCUUGGCUCUUUGACGAGCGAGCGCGAACGUGAACGGGCCCCCGCAGCUCGGCCUUGCUGCCGACUAUAGAGAAGAGCCGAGUCUGCAGCCGAUCGCUGUGAAACGGGUCGGAGCUGCUUGAUCAGCACGGGUCUCCCUCGCAAUACUGACUCGGUCAUGAAUUCUACAUGCACGAUAGCGGUGCGGCAAGGUUAUGCCGCUGGAGAACCUGCGCUUCUCCAAAACCCAGAUUUUCCCAGGUGAGCGCAAGCAACGGUAGAUGGCGCACGCUCUCGCUUCCAAUGCCAACGUGCACAUGCACCGCUGCUGAUGCCGGCGGUGAUGUGGAGGAUGGCGUUGCUCCGGAGCGACCUGCGACCGUGGACACGUGUGUGCCGCCGAUACGAUGGGCGAAGUGUCAGCGCGACUGCAGCGCAUCUCACCCGGCCCUGACUGUGCUGGUGGUGAGGGGAGCCUGAGCGCCCGCCCACGGCUGCACCGCGUGCUGGUUGGGACAAUGCGAGCGUCUGCGAGGCGACCUGCGGGGCGGAUGUGGGUGGGUCGAGCUUGAGGCGGAUGCCGUGCUCAGAUGACUGAGUGGGCGCGUUGCCGUGGCGUGUGUGUGUGUGUGCGGCUGCUUGGCACCACGCGAUGGGGCCCUGUGAGAAUGGCGGGCGGUGCAGCGGACCUGAGCUGAUUCUCUACUUCAGAACGGCCGUAAAGAACAGUAACGACAAACUUCUUCCCACCUGCCCCGUCUUGCCCACUUCUACUGCUCUGUAUCUGUCUCUAUGUGAAACAUCCCCGUUACCGGUCUUUGCUAAUAUGCCCACGCUACAUCGACUACGCCGCAUGCACAACACUUGUCUCACACCAACUUUCCCAUCAG